GAGUUUGAUCAUGGCUCAGAUUGAACGCUGGCGGCAUGCCUUACACAUGCAAGUCGAACGGCAGCACGGGAGCUUGCUCCUGGGUGGCGAGUGGCGAACGGGUGAGUAAUGCAUCGGAACGUAUCCUGGAGUGGGGGGAUAACGUAGCGAAAGUUACGCUAAUACCGCAUAUUCUGUGAGCAGGAAAGCGGGGGACCUUCGGGCCUCGCGCUCUUGGAGCGGCCGAUGUCGGAUUAGCUAGUUGGUGAGGUAAAGGCUCACCAAGGCGACGAUCCGUAGCAGGUCUGAGAGGAUGAUCUGCCACACUGGAACUGAGACACGGUCCAGACUCCUACGGGAGGCAGCAGUGGGGAAUUUUGGACAAUGGGGGCAACCCUGAUCCAGCCAUGCCGCGUGAGUGAAGAAGGCCCUCGGGUUGUAAAGCUCUUUCGCGAGGGAAGAAAUUGCACCGGACAAUACCUGGUGUAGAUGACGGUACCUUGAUAAGAAGCACCGGCUAAC
This 501-nucleotide ribosomal RNA is filed under the name bacterium enrichment culture clone ALO1_GLFRUDD03HDF39. RNAcentral describes it as "bacterial SSU rRNA". It matches the Rfam family "Bacterial small subunit ribosomal RNA", at positions 9 to 501 of the family's 1533-position model. The record is from RNAcentral.